AUGGAGGAAAAAUAUGAAAAAGAGAAACAUCAUAGUAAAACACCUGAGGGAGAGAAAAACAGUAAUACCACACUGGAAACUGUAGAGAGAGAAGAGACUACUCAGAAAGAGACUAUCAUUCAGCAAGAGGAAGAAAGCACUGACACUCGCACUGUGAACAAUUCUUCAGAGAACACUGAUGACAGAAUAGUUGGAAGAAUAGUUAGGAGAAAAAAGUUUUCCCUGUUUAAACGAAAGCCACUGACAGGCCAGAAGAAUGUAUGUAACAGCAAGGAAGAUGGAUCUGGAAAGCUGUUCCAGAGUGAACAAGAAAAAGAAAAGGAAGAUUUAUCUGGUGAAGACAGUAAAGAUGAAAAUCAGAAUCAUACUUUGGAGAAUUCCAAGGAGACUGUGACUAACCAGGACAGAAAAAUGAAAUCUUCUACUUGUAUACUACUCUAA
Molecule: long non-coding RNA, 441 nt
Filed under: Apteryx haastii (Great spotted kiwi)
Lineage: Eukaryota; Metazoa; Chordata; Aves; Apterygiformes; Apterygidae
Description: lncRNA (ENSAHAG00000001255.1)
Source: RNAcentral